This is a long non-coding RNA of Tachysurus fulvidraco (yellow catfish), 426 nucleotides long. RefSeq lists it as uncharacterized. The record is from RefSeq and is a predicted model, not a curated record. The transcript is spliced from 2 exons. NCBI's taxonomy places the organism in Eukaryota, Metazoa, Chordata, Actinopteri, Siluriformes, Bagridae.
UAUCCCUAACCCUACCAUAACCAACUUUUUCAGACUGUGGCAUUAUAAUAGGUGGAAACUAACCAUAACCAACUAUACCGAACCUAAUUUAUUAACUUUUUUCAUAUUAGUUAGAAACCUAACCAUAACCAACUUUUUCAGACUGUGGCAUUAUAAUAGGUGGACAUCACAUGUCGACCAGAACCUCAACCUAACCAUAACCGAUUUUAUUUUUUAUUACAACCGUUUCCUUUUUUCUUUUUUCUUUCUUUCUGCCUCUUCUUUUUCUUUUUCUUUUUUUCUUUUGGUACCAUCUUUAUCUGGGAUUCUUUAGGCCAGUGCACCACAAGGACAUGAUUCCUCAAAUUAAACAUCUAUUUCUAAACCUAACCUUGCCAGUGCCACUGAACUCCUUAUGAUCGGGGGAUAUCAUUUAAUUAUAUAUAA